This is a long non-coding RNA of Microtus ochrogaster (prairie vole), 926 nucleotides long. RefSeq lists it as uncharacterized. NCBI's taxonomy places the organism in Eukaryota, Metazoa, Chordata, Mammalia, Rodentia, Cricetidae. The record is from RefSeq and is a predicted model, not a curated record.
ACAAGACUAUGGCUCAUUUCAGUACCGGGAGCGCGAAGAGGGAGGCGCAGGGAAAAAGGAUCUUGGAGUAACUCUUCUGGAGUGAUGGAAGGUCUCGGAACCAUAUCUUCUCUUCCUUCCCAGUACACAGAAAGGGGGAACUGAGGUGGGGCAGGGGGAGCGGGCCUGGAAGCAGACCAGGAGCAGUAUUUAAUGACACACACCCCCAAGGCGGAGGUUCUAACGGGUUGGGAUUCCGGCGCAGGUGUACGGACUCCUUGGCUAAGCGGUUGGCCACCUCGCCUUACUCCCAGACGUCGCUCUUACGGCUCGCCUGACGCUGGGUGAUGCACACUGAGAAGACUCUGGCACAUCCUACUCUCUAGCCAUCCUGCCCACACGGUGACCGAUACCCUUGUGACGUCAGGCGUCCAGAGGAGAGCAGGGCGUGAAAACAGACUGAAAGGAGAGCCUGCAUAGGGAGGCACAGGUGGAUUCUGCCGUGCGCUGGCGGUGACAACAGACAGAGAACUGAGGCAUUUGCUAUUACAAAGUGCAGCCAUUCGAAUGUAUCCAGACCUUUUGGAGAAGAGUGAGCCAUGGGUCAUCUGGUAAUGUGCCCUCCAGAACCUGUCACUGCCUACAAAGAACGUAAGAAUCUAAGAGCCACACGUGGAGUGAAUGGUCAAAAUGGGUCCUGUCUCACUGGCCCAUACCUUCUGCUCUACCUCUGGCUGACAGGAAUGUCCACCCUUCUGGAAAACACAGACUAACUCUUUGGGCUUUCUCCUGUAACAGCCUCUCCUGAGCCCUGCUAAGUCAGGGCCCUCCACAACCAGGACCCUUCACGGCCAUAUCACUUCCAAGCCUCAACUUCUCUGUCCUACCUGGCUCCAUCCCCAGCAUCAGAACUGCCAGGUGACAUUAAACCUUCCUCAUCUGAGUGU